Molecule: ribosomal RNA, 446 nt
Filed under: uncultured Leptolinea sp.
Lineage: Bacteria; Bacillati; Chloroflexota; Anaerolineae; Anaerolineales; Anaerolineaceae
Description: bacterial SSU rRNA
Rfam family: Bacterial small subunit ribosomal RNA
Source: RNAcentral
GCACAAGCAGCGGAGCGUGUGGUUUAAUUCGAUGCUACACGAAGAACCUUACCAGGGUUUGACAUGCAAGUGGUAGGAAACCGAAAGGCGACCGACCCUUCGGGGAGCUUGCACAGGUGCUGCAUGGCUGUCGUCAGCUCGUGUCGUGAGAUGUUCGGUUAAGUCCGCUAACGAGCGCAACCCUCGCUGUGUGUUACAAGUGUCACACGGUACUGCCGGUCUUAAGCCGGAGGAAGGUGGGGAUGACGUCAAGUCAGCAUGGCCUUUAUGUCCUGGGCUACACACACGCUACAAUGGCCAACACAAUAGGUUGCUAAGCCGCGAGGUGGAGCCAAUCCUCAAAGUUGGUCUCAGUUCAGAUUGCAGGCUGCAACCCGCCUGCAUGAAGAUGGAGUUGCUAGUAACCGCAGGUCAGCUAUACUGCGGUGAAUACGUUCCCGGGGCUU